RNAcentral lists this ribosomal RNA (461 nucleotides) under uncultured bacterium. Its description in RNAcentral is "partial 16S ribosomal RNA". It matches the Rfam family "Bacterial small subunit ribosomal RNA", at positions 29 to 523 of the family's 1533-position model. The record is from RNAcentral.
AACGAACGCUGGCGGCAGGCCUAACACAUGCAGGUCGAACGAGCUGAGACCUUCGGGUCUCGAUGCUAGUGGCGCACGGGUGAGUAACGCGUGGGAACGUACCCUUUAGUACGGAAUAACCCAGGGAAACUUGGGCUAAUACCGUAUACGCCCUUCGGGGGAAAGAUUUAUCGCUAAAGGAUCGGCCCGCGUCUGAUUAGGUAGUUGGUGAGGUAACGGCUCACCAAGCCGACGAUCAGUAGCUGGUCUGAGAGGAUGAUCAGCCACACUGGGACUGAGACACGGCCCAGACUCCUACGGGAGGCAGCAGUGGGGAAUAUUGGACAAUGGGCGAAAGCCUGAUCCAGCCAUGCCGCGUGAGUGAAGAAGGCCUUCGGGUUGUAAAGCUCUUUCGACGGGGACGAUGAUGACGGUACCCGUAUAAGAAGCCCCGGCAAACUUCGUGCCAGCCGCCGCGGUAA